CAUGUCAGCGCACUUUGCUGACGUGGACACAAACCGCGCUUACGUCGACGCGAUUUGAUGCCAUGUCAGCAAAGUGCGCUGACGUAA
Gossypium raimondii (Peruvian cotton) is the source of this 87-nucleotide non-coding RNA. NCBI's taxonomy places the organism in Eukaryota, Viridiplantae, Streptophyta, Magnoliopsida, Malvales, Malvaceae. The record is from Rfam.